GUAGGUGGCAAGCGUUGUCCGGAAUUAUUGGGCGUAAAGCGCGCGCAGGCGGUCCUUUAAGUCUGAUGUGAAAGCCCACGGCUCAACCGUGGAGGGUCAUUGGAAACUGGGGGACUUGAGUACAGAAGAGGAAAGCGGAAUUCCAAGUGUAGCGGUGAAAUGCGUAGAGAUUUGGAGGAACACCAGUGGCGAAGGCGGCUUUCUGGUCUGUAACUGACGCUGAGGCGCGAAAGCGUGGGGAGCAAACAGGGAUUAGAUACCCCGGUAGUCCACGCCGUAAACGAUGAGUGCUAAGUGUUAGGGGGUUUCCCGCCCCCCUUAGUGCUGCAGCUAACGCAUUAAGCACUCCGCCUGGGGGAGUACGGCCGCAAGGCUG
RNAcentral lists this ribosomal RNA (376 nucleotides) under uncultured organism. RNAcentral's name for it is "partial 16S ribosomal RNA". It matches the Rfam family "Bacterial small subunit ribosomal RNA", at positions 527 to 896 of the family's 1533-position model. The record is from RNAcentral.